GGGGGGCAAGCGUUGUUCGGAAUUACUGGGCGUAAAGGGCGCGCAGGCGGCCCGGCCAGUCCUACGUGAAAUCCCACAGCUCAACUGUGGAACUGCGUGGGAUACUGCCAGGCUUGAGUCCGGGAGAGGAGAGUGGAAUUCCCAGUGUAGCGGUGAAAUGCGUAGAUAUUGGGAGGAACACCGGUGGCGAAGGCGGCUCUCUGGACCGGCACUGACGCUGAGGCGCGAAAGCUAGGGGAGCAAACGGGGAUUAGAUACCCCGGUAGUCCUAGCCCUAAACGAUGAGCACUUUGUGUGGCGGGUAUCGACCCCUGCCGUGCAGAAGCUAACGCAUUAAGUGCUCCGCCUGGGGAUACGGUCGCAAGGCUG
Molecule: ribosomal RNA, 369 nt
Filed under: uncultured organism
Description: partial 16S ribosomal RNA
Rfam family: Bacterial small subunit ribosomal RNA
Source: RNAcentral